Molecule: ribosomal RNA, 227 nt
Filed under: uncultured bacterium
Lineage: Bacteria
Description: partial 16S ribosomal RNA
Rfam family: Bacterial small subunit ribosomal RNA
Source: RNAcentral
CGCGUAGGUGGCCUCUGUAAGGCCGUGGUGAAAGUCCGGGGCUCAACCCCGGAUCUGCCGCGGCGACUGCAGGGCUUGGGCACCGUAGAGGCAGAUGGAAUUCCGGGUGUAGCGGUGGAAUGCGUAGAGAUCCGGAAGAACACCGGUGGCGAAGGCGGUCUGCUGGGCGGUGGGGGCGCAAGCCCCUCUUAGCCGACACUGAGGCGCGACAGCGUGGGGAGCAAACA